This 1129-nucleotide unclassified non-coding RNA is filed under the name Hevea brasiliensis (rubber tree). Lineage: Eukaryota; Viridiplantae; Streptophyta; Magnoliopsida; Malpighiales; Euphorbiaceae. The record is from RNAcentral.
GUUUGAUUUACAUAUUACGUAUUUACAUAGGCAUGGAAAAUUUUCACAAAAUAACACAAGUAUGAACCUUAUAAAACAUCUAGCAUAAGCAAAUAAAUGUCCAAGAAAAGCAGCAAGACAUUUUCUCUCUAGGAGGGUCACAUGUUGAUGAACAGGAGAACAUGAUCUAGAUGCACCACCUCACUCAGUUCAUUUGAAUUCUCUAGUAGGGACAGUUAUGAAACAAUAAGCUGAUCAAUUUUGUUGGUAGCGUCAUCAUGGAAUGUGAUGGGCAGAACUCCAAUAAAAAACGUGCUACCAGUCUUGAAGCCACUCUGGAGUGUUAAGCUCCUCCAUGUCACGAUUAGGGGAAUGUAGGGAAGCUAUGUUCUCAUCACCAUGGUUUUCCAAGCGUUGACUUAUACGAGAGAGAAUCUCUGCAGGAACAGGACUUCGAUGAUCUGCUAUUGCUUUCCAAUCCACAUCAAGAAACCAGGGAUGACUUUUUAUAGAGUCAACACCUUGGCUUCCGAGUCUUAGAUUUUCAUCAACUUGAAGUAACUUGGCAAUGAGAUCAAGAGCUUCGGGGCUGAAUGUAUGUGGAAGUGUCAACUGUCCUUUAGCAAUCCUAGCAAAUGUAAGCUCACUCUCUCUCCAUGAACCAAAUGGCAUUUCACCUUGUAGCAUGAAGUAGAUCAAUGUUCCCAAAGCCCACCAGUCAGCAGCAAAACCAUGGCCUUUUCCUUGGACUAUUUCUGGAGCUAGAGAAUCUGCCAUUCCGCAUAUGGUAAAUGUCCUCUCAUCCAACUCAGAAGAAAUCUUCUUGGCAAAUCUGAAUUCCACUAGCUGAAUAUGGCCAGUUUGGUCGAACAUUAGUACGUCAGGAGAAACACCUCUAUAAAGUAUGUCAUUAUUGUGCAAGUCUUCCAGAGCAAUGACAACUGAUGCAGCACAGAAACGUGUUGAUUCCUCAUCAAGGGGGUUGUUAAGUAUUGCUACCACAGAGCAAGCCAGGCAUGUGUCCAGAACUAUGCCAGCAUGAAUUUCAUCAGCACAAGUACAUAAAACUUGAGGUACUGAAGCUACUGUAUUCAUUUGCUUCAAUAGAUUCUUCUCAUUUAACACUUGUGCUUCUUUCCCAAGCAUUUUG